GGAGGGGUUCCCGAGUGGCCAAAGGGAACAGACUGUAAAUCUGUCGUCAACGACUUCGGAGGUUCGAAUCCUCCCCCCUCCA
RNAcentral lists this transfer RNA (82 nucleotides) under Candidatus Zixiibacteriota bacterium. RNAcentral describes it as "tRNA-Tyr". It matches the Rfam family "tRNA". From Rfam's summary of the family: Transfer RNA (tRNA) molecules are approximately 80 nucleotides in length. Their secondary structure includes four short double-helical elements and three loops (D, anti-codon, and T loops). Further hydrogen bonds mediate the characteristic L-shaped molecular structure. tRNAs have two regions of fundamental functional importance: the anti-codon, which is responsible for specific mRNA codon recognition, and the 3' end, to which the tRNAs corresponding amino acid is attached (by aminoacyl-tRNA synthetases). tRNAs cope with the degeneracy of the genetic code in two manners: having more than one tRNA (with a specific anti-codon) for a particular amino acid; and 'wobble' base-pairing, i.e. permitting non-standard base-pairing at the 3rd anti-codon position. The record is from RNAcentral. Lineage: Bacteria; Pseudomonadati; Candidatus Zixiibacteriota.